CCCGAAAUAAGCUUGGAUUGGGAGAGCGUUAGACUGAAAGAUCUAAAGGGUUCCUGGUUCCAAUCCCGGGUUUUGGCA
Molecule: non-coding RNA, 78 nt
Organism: Trichonephila inaurata madagascariensis
Lineage: Eukaryota; Metazoa; Arthropoda; Arachnida; Araneae; Nephilidae
Source: the annotation of a GenBank genome assembly